RNAcentral lists this long non-coding RNA (1611 nucleotides) under Capra hircus (goat). Its description in RNAcentral is "lncRNA (ENSCHIG00000001599.1)". Lineage: Eukaryota; Metazoa; Chordata; Mammalia; Artiodactyla; Bovidae. The record is from RNAcentral.
AUCCACUAUGAAAUGUUGGUCCUAAUUUUUAAGUAAAUUAUUUUGCUUUGACUUUUUACACUUACCAGUUGUUCUCAGAUAACAGAGAUUCCCAAAAUGGAUUAAACUUUAAGCCCUCACAUCUAUAGCUUUUUCCUUAUUAUAUUAGACUGAGCUAUGUGGGAUUAUAAUGUUUUAUCAUUUUGGAUCUAUAAAAAUGGAAAUUUCAUACAAUUCAUCCCUCCUGCACAGGUCUUGCCCAGUGAUGCCUGAAGAGUUGACAUUAUGCAGAGAAAAGUGAUGGAGAAGGCAGCGGCAACCGACUCCAGUACUCUUGCCUGGAAAAUCCCAUGGAUAGAGGAGUCUGGGCGCAGCAGGGACAGACAAGUAAACCCAGCUGAGGUGAUGGAAAGAAUAUCCUGGGAGGAGAUUAAGACACAAGAACGUUUUCUUACCAUGGAGAGGGGUAGCGAACAGGGAGAUGCGGUGCUUCUUGGAAGAAGCCCCGAGGAUCCUGCUGUUAAAUCAAGACCCGUGCAGGGGAAAAAAAAUUAUCCACUCCACAAUAACAUGGCAUGUAACACAAAGGCAGUGGUACUUAUCCAGCAGGGAGAGAACCCCUUCAAUACCGGGACCCCACCGGCUGACUUAAUUACAACGCAGCAAGGCGAUCCACUACAAAGACAGUGCAACCCAAAGGAGACCACUGAGAUCCACCCGAGGUGCAGGGACAGAUGGUUCCUUUGCUUCUUGUUUAGUAUGAGACCUUCUAGAAAAAUCUGAAAAUGGAUACAUGCCAACAAGCUUUCAACUACCAGUAUUUUUUUUAAGCCUACCAUAUGCUACUAUAAAAAUAAUCCAUAACUUGAGAGUCAAUCAGCAAGGAUUUACUGAGCUGGGACUGUGUAUAAGGGAUAAGAAAAGGCCAAAAUCAGCUUACCAUAGAGUUUAAGGACAUGGAUUAAACUCUGAUUUAAUUUAAGGGCUUUUGGUUUUUUUUCAUCAUGCUGCACACACAUACAAAAUUACAGCAGAAGCCAUGAAACAACUGCCUUAAAAUAUUUUAGAUGAUAACAAACACAAAUUUACAGAAACAGAGUGGUUCCACACUGGGAAACAUGGUUUUAAACAAGUGAUGGUGCACUGGAACUUAAUUCAGCAGUCAAGGUAACUGAAUGUUAUUAAAGCAGUCACCAUAGCAACCACAGCAACUAGGGCACAAAACAGAGAAUUAGCCCCUCCAAUUAUGAAGUUAUAAUACAGUCACUAAAUAAUAGCCCUGAGUAAAUUCUAUCUUGUAAAAAGUCUUAAGGAAAAUGAAAAUUUAACUACAAACUUACUAAAGGACCAAGCUAUUACUGUCAUACUUUUUAAACAAACAAAUCACAAAUGAAGCCUUUCUGCAUGCAGCAAAUUCUACCUUCCUGGUCACUUCAAAGGAUAUGAAUUAAUCAAGAUAAUAAAAUUCAUGCUUUUUUUUCUUCUUGUAGUGGCUUACAGGAUCUUGGUUCCCCAGCCAUGACACUGAAAGUGCCAAGUCCUAACCACUGGACCACCAGGGAAUUCUCAAAAAUCAUAAAAUUCUUCAUUCUCUAUGUGUGAGUGUACAAUAAUGCCACCCAAGAAAUUGAG